UAACGCUUAAACAAGUGACCAGUAAAGACCAAACGAGCAGGAGUUAUUCCCAGUUCUGCCAACUGGUUAACCUUGGAUAUAUCACAUUAAUGUGUUUGCUGUUCUGCUCCCUCCUCCUGGAAAACAGGGUAAUAUUUACUGCAUUCCCAGAGGAGACUUAUCCCAUUAAAAGACUGAAAUCCUUCAGCAGACCACCAAUGCAGCAGUGAGGAUGAUGAGCUCUCCAUCCAAGGCACUGAGGUUUAUACAGAAUGCAGAGCUCUUCUCACUUUUGUGAAACAGCCGAAGAAUUUCUGUAUUGUUAUCACUGCUACUCCUGCCUGAAGCUCAAAGUCUGUAAUGGUUGGAUCAGCGCUGCUUGCUAAAUGCUGUAUAACCGAGUGACAAUGACCCUGUUCAUCAGCCCUGAUGCCUAAGGACACAGCCAGGCCAGGCAUGAGCUCAGCACUUACAGGAGACAGAGAAGAUUCAAGCUUGGCAAAGCUGAGCAAAGUCAAACAGACAUGCAGGAAUGGGACAACCUAAAGAUAGAAGAACUUAAUAGGAAACAACAUGUCCAUGGAGGAAAAAAAAAAAAGUUCUCAUUUUGCAUCAGUGGCUGCUGGGCUGCAGAAGCUGUUUAAACACCCUUCCUGCCCCUGGACCCCCCACCUGCUGCUCCCAGUGACUGAGACCCAGGGAUACUGGGUGGAGUCAUCCCAGGGAUUUUAUACCUGAACUGGUGGGCAUGACCUCUCUGACUUGAGUGGGGAAAUUAAUUCAAAUUCCAUUUGCAUGAAUGAUGGGGACAGAGCCAGGGCAGAGGACCCCAGUGGUCCAAGGUGCCAAAGCACCAACAGAAUGAGAACACAAGGUAGGAAACUGUGGAAAUUCUCACCCAGGUGUGCUACAAUAAAAUAAUGCACCCUAAGGUGACCACAGACAGAAGAUAAACCUCUGCUUAAAGGAGUGAGACUAAAACCUGGUUCCACAGUUCCUGGUGAACUGUGUUCAAUGCAAGCUGAAUGUAACAGAACCAAAGCAAAACCCAAGCUGCCACUUCAGAAAGUGAUAAAGCAUAAAAGCACAACAGACACUGUCCACACAGCAUUUCCUACAGCUUAAGGUCUACUACCCUGCUCAGAGGAGUAGAAAUAGCUGUGGGGAAAAAUUAGGGAAAUGCAUUCACAAGAGUUCCAGGAGACUCUUCCAACUACCUGGAACUUCUGACAAGCAGAGAGAAGGUGCAUUUCAGUGCAGACAGACUGAGCACAUGCACUCCCUACACAGCCAGGUGUUGGGGGCAUGGCAGAGGACUGUGCCCUGCUGCUGGCUUUGUGUUUCCAUGCUGAGAUCCCACCUCCAGCUUCUCCUGUGAGCUCCUCUCUCCUCAUCCAGGGCUACCUGUUCUCCUGCACUUUAGCUACAAACCCGCCAAGGCCAGAGCCUCUCUUGCUCUUUAUCUGUACAUUUUUCAGUGCAGCACAGCCUUUUUCCAAGGCCAGGGCUCGGGACUGCACAGCUAAACAAGUAAUAAGGAUUUUGUUUCACAGCUAACUAGAAUUCACCACUUAUUAGGAACAGCACUGUGCAUGUCCAAGUGUCACAUUUAAAAAGGUCUUUAAGAUGUCUCUUAGACAACCAGGCUCAAAACUGCUAUGGUUUGAUGUAACCUCACAAGUUUCCAGCACAUGGGCUGGGUUCUUUCUGCUGGAGGUAAGUUUUGACAGUAAGGGAUCAUUUUUCCAAAGCAGACAAGAUCUCUCUCCAGUCAGCUUUGCUUUCCCUCUAGUUAGGGCUUGAAUUAUCACAAUAACAAGUGACUCAAAUGGGGGUUUGUUGCUGUUUUUUCAAUUAGGAGAGCGGAGCAGAGAGGUAUCACUAACUGCAAGCUCUAAUUUGCUGUUAAAAUAGGACUUGGCCUGGAAACAUUUUAUCUCUUAAUCCUUGGAGUAACAGGAGGUGGCUCAGAAUCAAAUUCAAAACAAAUCUCCAACCUGGAAAGCUGCUUUAUGACACGGCUGAACCCAUGACCAAUUUGUUUAACUUCAGGUUGAAAGAACUAACACGGAUAAUUUGAUUACAUAAUGAUUCAGCUUUCUACCACGUAAAUAAAUUUUGGGAAGCUGCAACAGCAACUCCUAUUUCAGACAAUUCCUUCCUAACAGAAAUUUCUGUCAACUGCUUAAGGAACAGGAUUAUACAAUUCUCUACGACUUCUUGCCUCUGCCAGUACUUUCUUUCCACCUUUGAUAGUUUCUCUGAGUUUAAACACUAUUCCAUUUAAGAAGAUAAAAGUGCCAGCCAAGAGAGGAUUUUAAAUACAACCUCUUACAUUCCUUGAGGUUAUCUAGGCAGAGAAAGACCAAGGAUGCUGCAAGCCUUCCUCUCCCUUGCUCUUCGCAUAAUUUUUCAUUAAAUUUAAAAUGGAUUGUCAUUAAUAAUGCAUGCAGAAGAAGACUCUGUA
Molecule: long non-coding RNA, 2446 nt
Organism: Passer domesticus (house sparrow)
Lineage: Eukaryota; Metazoa; Chordata; Aves; Passeriformes; Passeridae
Exons: 5
Source: RefSeq, a predicted model, not a curated record